CGCGGCCUAUCAGCUUGUUGGUGAGGUAACGGCUCACCAAGGCGACGACGGGUAGCUGUUCUGAGAGGAAGAUCAGCCACACUGGGACUGAGACACGGCCCAGACUCCUACGGGAGGCAGCAGUGGGGAAUCUUGCGCAAUGGGCGAAAGCCUGACGCAGCGAUGCCGCGUGCGGGAAGACGGCCUUCGGGUUGUAAACCGCUUUCAGCAGGGACGAAGCGGAAGUGACGGUACCUGGAGAAGAAGCACCGGCUAACUACGUGCCAGCAGCCGCGGUAAUACGUAGGGUGCGAGCGUUGUCCGGAAUUAUUGGGCGUAAAGAGCUUGUAGGCGGUUUGUCGCGUCUGCUGUGAAAGACCGGGGCUUAACUCCGGUUCUGCAGUGGGUACGGGCAGGCUAGAGUAUGGUAGGGGAGACUGGAAUUCCUGGUGUAGCGGUGAAAUGCGCAGAUAUCAGGAGGAACACCGAUGGCGAAGGCAGGUCUCUGGGCCAUUACUGACGCUGAGAAGCGAAAGCAUGGGGAGCGAACAGGAUUAGAUACCCUGGUAGUCCAUGCCGUAAACGUUGGGCGCUAGGUGUGGGACUCAUUCCACGAGUUCCGUGCCGCAGCUAACGCAUUAAGCGCCCCGCCUGGGGAGUACGG
Molecule: ribosomal RNA, 643 nt
Filed under: uncultured marine bacterium
Lineage: Bacteria
Description: bacterial SSU rRNA
Rfam family: Bacterial small subunit ribosomal RNA
Source: RNAcentral